RNAcentral lists this ribosomal RNA (442 nucleotides) under uncultured bacterium. RNAcentral describes it as "partial 16S ribosomal RNA". It matches the Rfam family "Bacterial small subunit ribosomal RNA", at positions 338 to 795 of the family's 1533-position model. The record is from RNAcentral.
CCUACGGGUGGCUGCAGUGGGGGAUAUUGCACAAUGGGGGAAACCCUGAUGCAGCGACGCCGCGUGGGCGAAGAAGUAUUUCGGUAUGUAAAGCACUAUCAGCAGGGAAGAAGAAAUGACGGUACCUGAGUAAGAAGCACCGGCUAAAUACGUGCCAGCAGCCGCGGUAAUACGGAGGGUGCAAGCGUUAUCCGGAUUUACUGGGUGGAAAGGGAGCGCAGGCGGCUGUGCAAGCCUGAUGUGAAAGCCCGCGGCAUAACCGGGGGACUGCAUUGGGAACUACUGGGCUGGAGUGCCGGAGAGGGAGGCAGAAUUCCAAGUGUAGCGGUGAAAUGCGUAGAGAUUAGGAGGAAGACCAGUGGCGAAGGCGGCCUACUGGACGGUGACUGACGCUGAGGCUCGAAAGCGUGGGGAGCAAACAGGAUUAGAUACCCCAGUAGUC